GGCCUGGUGGUGUAAUGGUAACACCCCUGUUUCUAUAGCCAGGAAAAUUCAUACGACAGGAGAUCCUUAUUCGAAUCAAGGUCAGGCUG
Mycena latifolia is the source of this 89-nucleotide non-coding RNA. NCBI's taxonomy places the organism in Eukaryota, Fungi, Basidiomycota, Agaricomycetes, Agaricales, Mycenaceae. The record is from the annotation of a GenBank genome assembly.